GGGGGGGCAAGCGUUUGUUCGGAAUUACUGGGCGUAAAGGGCGCGCAGGCGGCCCGGCCAGUCCUACGUGAAAUCCCACAGCUCAACUGUGGAACUGCGUGGGAUACUGCCAGGCUUGAGUCCGGGAGAGGAGAGUGGAAUUCCCAGUGUAGCGGUGAAAUGCGUAGAUAUUGGGAGGAACACCGGUGGCGAAGGCGGCUCUCUGGACCGGCACUGACGCUGAGGCGCGAAAGCUAGGGGAGCAAACGGGGAUUAGAUACCCCGGUAGUCCUAGCCCUAAACGAUGAGCACUUUGUGUGGCGGGUAUCGACCCCUGCCGUGCAGAAGCUAACGCAUUAAGUGCUCCGCCUGGGGAUACGGUCGCAAGGCUG
RNAcentral lists this ribosomal RNA (371 nucleotides) under uncultured organism. RNAcentral describes it as "partial 16S ribosomal RNA". It matches the Rfam family "Bacterial small subunit ribosomal RNA", at positions 528 to 896 of the family's 1533-position model. The record is from RNAcentral.